RNAcentral lists this ribosomal RNA (378 nucleotides) under uncultured eukaryote. RNAcentral describes it as "partial 18S ribosomal RNA". It matches the Rfam family "Eukaryotic small subunit ribosomal RNA", at positions 592 to 976 of the family's 1831-position model. The record is from RNAcentral.
CAAUAGCGUAUAUUUAAGUUGUUGCAGUUAAAAAGCUCGUAGUUGGAUUUCGGGUUGGCUUCAGCGGUCUCGCUUUGCGUUUGUACUGCUGCAGCCUACCUUCUUGUCGGGGACGGGCCUUCGGGCUUAAUUGCUUGGGGCCCGGAGUCGACGAUGUUACUUUGAGUAAAUUAGAGUGUUCAAAGCAAGCCUACGCUCUGAAUAUAAUAGCAUAGGAUAACACGACAGGACUCUGGCCUAUCGUGUUGGUCUGUAGGACCAGAGUAAUGAUUAAGAGGGACAGUCGGGGGCAUUCGUAUUCCGUUGUCAGAGGUGAAAUUCUUGGAUUUACGGAAGACGAACAUCUGCGAAAGCAUUUGCCAAGGAUGUUUUCAUUGA